CUGGGAUUCUUGUCGUUGAGCCAGCUGAGGAUGUUGUCGGUUGCCAUCGAUGCCUUGUGACCACGCACUGCCCUAUCUGCUUCAUCUUUGUGACAGAGCGAGACCGGGCCUACAUGCCAUAACUUCAUCGGAACAUACCCUUUCAACAGGUCGGCAUAGAGGGGCUCCAUCUCGUAGAAGGAGUUCAUCACCAAGCCAUAGCUGCUCUUUUGGGCAGCGGCGAUGCGGGAUAUGUGGGCUUCUGUUUUGGUGGCGAAAUCUGGUAGCUGGGACAGAGUGACCUCUAUGUGGUGAGGGAUGCUGGGGACGACAAAGGGGACGUCGUCGCUGGUGAUGCCAGCAUGGGGUUUGUGAUGGCGGAUGGCACCGAGGACAAUGGUGGCGAAGAAGCUGGUCCCGUGGAACUCGAUCCUCGGGAUGCCGACGUUGGAGGUCCAGGGGUAGAAGAAAUCGGAGAUGAUGAAGUCGGGGCGGUGGACGUCGCAUAAGAGGCGGAAGGGUUGUUCCAGGAGGGCGAUGGCGGAAUGGAAUUCGGGGGUGAUGUCCGGCGUAGGGAGGGAGAGGAGGUUUUCAUGGCCGUUUGGGAGACCCGUUUCCGAACUUGGGAAGGGGAUGGCUAGGAUUUGGAUUGGAUGGGCAAAGUUAGAGUUGGCAUGGUGGAUGGUGGGUUGGAUGCGAGGGACGUUGCCGGCGGUGGUGAUGAUUGUGGCCUUGACGCCGCGGUUGGCGAAGAGGAGAGCGAGGUCGACCAUGGGGUUCAUGUGGCCGGGGGCGAGGAAGGGGAAGAAGAAGACAUG
This 797-nucleotide unclassified non-coding RNA is filed under the name Hevea brasiliensis (rubber tree). Lineage: Eukaryota; Viridiplantae; Streptophyta; Magnoliopsida; Malpighiales; Euphorbiaceae. The record is from RNAcentral.